RNAcentral lists this long non-coding RNA (989 nucleotides) under Heterocephalus glaber (naked mole-rat). RNAcentral's name for it is "lncRNA (ENSHGLG00000050106.1)". Lineage: Eukaryota; Metazoa; Chordata; Mammalia; Rodentia; Bathyergidae. The record is from RNAcentral.
CGCGCGGCCGAGCCCGCCGCCCGCCGCUGCCGCCGCCGCUGCCGCCGCCGCCGCCAGAUGAGGUCUCAGUUUGUAGUGCAGGCUGACCUUGAACUCGCGGUGAUCCUCCUGCCUCGGCCUCCCAAGUGAUGGAAUUAUAGGUGGUGUUUGGACACUAGACCAUGUGCCUAGGUAGUUUUCCUUUCUCUGCAGCUCUACUCUCCCAGCAACGCUCACCACACCCUUGUUUUGAGAACCUCACUAAGCCAGCCCGGAAGCUGUCUCUGUGAGGAGAAUGCUGUUUUCUUCUAAUGGGGUAAUCUCUCUCCAUGCCGGGCUCCCAGCCCAUCUGUCACAACCUGUCCCUCCUGCUUUUCCUGCUCCUUAAAAGGACCAAGCUAUUCUACACUUCUUCAGUGUUUUUCCCUCCUAGGCAUUUGGAAGAAAGGAAAGAGGAGGAGGAAAGGAAAAGCAGGAAGAGAGGACAGGGGAUAAGUUCAUAAAGUGAAUGUCUCGUGGCAUGUCCUUGUGGUCAUGAUCGCCUGUGUGCUGGUUCACUUGGCAGUGGGCUGCCCUGCUGUCACUGGUAUCUGUGUGUUCCGUUUUCAUGGCUCUCACACUUCUAGUCCAGGAGACAAUUAUUUGUUCUGUUCAGAAUCUCAUCUCCAUGAGAUAUUCUGCCAGUCUGUUUGGGUAAUGAGGACCCUCCUGGGGGAGGGGCAUGUUUUCCUUUUCUGUGAGACCUCCUAAACCAGCACAUGUGUUUUGUUGAGGGCUUAGGAGGGCCAGGAAACCAGACCUGCAGACCCACUGAUCCCACAGGAUGUAAGAAUAUACCUCUGCCAUGCCACCUGCUCUCGUGGUUCUGAGUGAUUUUCUAUUUUCCCUUAUAAAAACUAUAAAAGCAAUCUCUUAGCUUUCCCCCAAAAAGUUUUGAAAAAUAAUCUAGCAGUAAAAGUUUUUUCUUUUAAUUGUAGAUCAAAUGAAUACUUAGUUUUGCAUUAUCAGAC